GACGAACGCUGGCGGCGUGCUUAACACAUGCAAGUCGAACGGAAAGGCCCUGCUUUUGUGGGGUGCUCGAGUGGCGAACGGGUGAGUAACACGUGAGUAACCUGCCCUUGACUUUGGGAUAACUUCAGGAAACUGGGGCUAAUACCGGAUAGGAGCUCCUGCUGCAUGGUGGGGGUUGGAACGUUUCGGCGGUUGGGGAUGGACUGGCGGCUUAUCAGCUUGUUGGUGGGGUAGUGGCUUACCAAGGCUUUGACGGGUAGCCGGCCUGAGAGGGUGACCGGCCACCUUGGGACUGAGAUACGGCCCAGACUCCUACGGGAGGCAGCAGUGGGGAAUAUUGCACAAUGGGCGGAAGCCUGAUGCAGCAACGCCGCGUGCGGGAUGACGGCCUUCGGGUUGUAAACCGCUUUCGCCUGUGACGAAGCGUGAGUGACGGUAAUGGGUAAAGAAGCACCGGCUAACUACGUG
RNAcentral lists this ribosomal RNA (468 nucleotides) under uncultured bacterium. RNAcentral describes it as "partial 16S ribosomal RNA". It matches the Rfam family "Bacterial small subunit ribosomal RNA", at positions 28 to 507 of the family's 1533-position model. The record is from RNAcentral.